UCCCUUAACAUAUUUGUCACAUAAACCCGACGAGGGGGAAAAAACCAAGUUAUGAGCAAAGAGAAACCAACAAAACAUAUCUUCCCGUGAAAAAGUCUAAACAUAAAGUCUUCCUCUUGAAGAUCUAAUGAAUUCCUCUUCAACCUAUUCAAAACCCAAGGCACCAUGCUUGUCUCUCAUUUUCCUUUUGAUUAAUGUAUUAGGCAUAUUGCAUUGAAAGAGUACAAGUGUAGCAAAAAAAAAAAAAAUGAUUAUUUAGCAAGACUAGUCAUCUAUGUAGUACCGACACUUCAGAUUGAAACCCGGUAUAUGUAGUUACAUUCAAUUCAAUUAUACCACUUUAUCAAAUUAUAAUUACCGGUUCAACAUGUCAAUUUCGCUUUGUGCUUCAUAACUAGCAAGUAAUCAAAUAAAAUAAAAUAAAAUCAAGCUAAUGUAAUCUUUC
Molecule: long non-coding RNA, 445 nt
Filed under: Medicago truncatula (barrel medic)
Lineage: Eukaryota; Viridiplantae; Streptophyta; Magnoliopsida; Fabales; Fabaceae
Description: lncRNA gene37647
Source: RNAcentral